UUUAAUCGUAUCCACAAAGAAUACAAAUGGAUCCACCUCAUCAAUAGGUGAUUGUAACUCUUCAUCAUCACUGAAGUCAUCAUCUGAGUCAUCGUCAUCCUCAUCAUGCGGACGGAAAGCCCUUGCCUGAAAUUCCAAACGACAGAUAAUGAUCAGAUGACAACUUUCCAUCCAUGGAACAUCAACUGCUGGAUCGUGAGAGAUAAUGAUCAAAUACCAUUACCAUUUCAUCAUUCAUCGGAUCCUAAAAAUGGAACAUUCCCCAUAUUUUGGGAAUACUGUUACCAUUUUAAGGGAGUGGCCAAACCUCUUAAUCCUAUGUAUGUAUUGCAAAGUUUUUGCGUUCCAUUUUAGGAUUCAACAAAUGAUGAAAUUGGCAUUUCAUAAAUAUCUGCUCAUUUAAUACCUUGUUUCCAAAUUAAAACUACCUUGGGAAAAAAUUAUCAAUAACUACGCACCUGUGCAGCUAACUUUUGAAGUCUGAUGCUGUCAGCUUCAUCUCCAUCCUCAGCAUCAACACCCAUUUCCUUGUCAGAACCAUCACCAUCAUCAUCCUCAUCAUCCGUUUGGAAGCCAUCCAUAUCAUCAUCAUCUUCGGCCUCUUCAUCCUUCGCAGCUUCUGUAAAAUUUUACACAAGUAUCCCAAUACAUAAAUAAACAGUAAAUAUAAUCACACAAAUAGUAAGGUACAAGGAUUAGAGAGAGAGAGAGAGAGAGAGAGAGAGAGACCUGCAACUUGCUCCUUGUAUGCAACUAGGAGAUCAAGAGUAGCCCUGAAAACACGGCCCAACGCCUCCCCUGGUAAUUGAUCCGCAGGAAGUGCAAGUAGAGAUGUCAAUCCCAAGCAGCAAACUUUCUUAUCAUGUUCCCUUCACAAAAAUCAUUUCCAUACACAUUCUAUAGAAUUGCCAGACUGAAAACAAUUACCAUCCCCAACUGCAACCCCAACAAGCGGCAGUUCCAGUGUUGUGCCUUACCAAAGGGAUCUUGGAUACACAAAGCUCCAAGCACUUGCAAACUGGAAAAUCUCUUGCGACUGACAGGCUCUCCCUAACCAUUGAACCAACAAAAAUACUCUGAACACGGCCAGCAAUUGAUUUCUCUAAAUCAUCACCGAAUGGAUAGAAUAAGCAAUAAACUCAGAAUGCAAAUCAAAAUUUUUUAACAGCCAUAUCCAUUGAGUUCUUAAGUCAUUGAGUGGCGGCAGCAGAUGCUUUCUCCACUUUUUCCUUCUCAAUCUCUACUCUCCUCUGGUCAGCAUGCUGGGCAACUCCAUUUGCAAGUGCCUGAUACUGGAACUCCAGUGUCUGGGUAAGGUUUUGAAAUCUCAAUGGAUCUGAUGCCUGCAUGACUGUGAUUCAUGGAGCAGUAGCAUGUAAGUCAAGUAAUACAAAAAUAAAAUUCGAUUCAAAAACAUCAAAUUUCAAAGUUUGCCGUACCUUUAAUCGUAUCCACAAAGAAUACAAAUGGAUCCACCUCAUCAAUAGGUGAUUGUAACUCUUCAUCAUCACUGAAGUCAUCAUCUGAGUCAUCGUCAUCCUCAUCAUGCGGACGGAAAGCCCUUGCCUGAAAUUCCAAACGACAGAUAAUGAUCAGAUGACAACUUUCCAUCCAUGGAACAUCAACUGCUGGAUCGUGAGAGAUAAUGAUCAAAUACCAUUACCAUUUCAUCAUUCAUCGGAUCCUAAAAAUGGAACAUUCCCCAUAUUUUGGGAAUACUGUUACCAUUUUAAGGGAGUGGCCAAACCUCUUAAUCCUAUGUAUGUAUUGCAAAGUUUUUGCGUUCCAUUUUAGGAUUCAACAAAUGAUGAAAUUGGC
Molecule: long non-coding RNA, 1818 nt
Filed under: Citrus sinensis (sweet orange)
Lineage: Eukaryota; Viridiplantae; Streptophyta; Magnoliopsida; Sapindales; Rutaceae
Description: long non-coding RNA (CSIN_LNC002289)
Source: RNAcentral